CCUACGGGGGGCUGCAGUGGGGAAUAUUGGACAAUGGGCGAAAGCCUGAUCCAGCCAUGCCGCGUGUGUGAAGAAGGCCUUCGGGUUGUAAAGCACUUUCAGUGGGGAAGAAAGCCUUGGGGCUAAUACCCUCGAGGAAGGACAUCACCCACAGAAGAAGCACCGGCUAACUCCGUGCCAGCAGCCGCGGUAAUACGGAGGGUGCGAGCGUUAAUCGGAAUUACUGGGCGUAAAGCGCGCGUAGGCGGUCUGAUAAGCCGGUUUGUGAAAGCCCCGGGCUCAACCUGGGAACGGCAUCCGGAACUGUCAGGCUAGAGUGCAGGAGAGGAAGGUAGAAUUCCCGGUGUAGCGGUGAAAUGCGUAGAGAUCGGGAGGAAUACCAGUGGCGAAGGCGGCCUUCUGGACUGACACUGACGCUGAGGUGCGAAAGCGUGGGUAGCAAACAGGAUUAGAUACCCCGGUAGUC
Molecule: ribosomal RNA, 466 nt
Filed under: Vreelandella stevensii
Lineage: Bacteria; Pseudomonadati; Pseudomonadota; Gammaproteobacteria; Oceanospirillales; Halomonadaceae
Description: partial 16S ribosomal RNA
Rfam family: Bacterial small subunit ribosomal RNA
Source: RNAcentral